Molecule: ribosomal RNA, 350 nt
Filed under: uncultured Spirotrichea
Lineage: Eukaryota; Ciliophora; Spirotrichea
Description: SSU rRNA
Rfam family: Eukaryotic small subunit ribosomal RNA
Source: RNAcentral
UAAUUCUAGAGCUAAUACAUGCUGUUAUGCCCGACUUACGAAGGGCGGUAUUUAUUAGAUAACAACCAAUAUUCUUCGUGUCUAUUGUGGUGAUUCAUAAUAACUUUCGAAUCGCACGGUCUUUGGCCGCGAUAAAUCAUUCAAGUUUCUGCCCCAUCAGCUUUCGAUGGUAGUGUAUUGGACUACCAUGGCGUUUACGGGUAACGGAGGAUUAGGGUUCGAUUCCGGAGAGGGAGCCUGAGAAACGGCUACCACAUCUAAGGAAGGCAGCAGGCGCGUAAAUUACCCAAUCCUGACUCAGGGAGGUAGUGACAAGAAAUAACGGACCGUGUCCUUCGGGAUCGGGAUUG